Long non-coding RNA from Astyanax mexicanus (Mexican tetra), 357 nucleotides. RefSeq lists it as uncharacterized. NCBI's taxonomy places the organism in Eukaryota, Metazoa, Chordata, Actinopteri, Characiformes, Acestrorhamphidae. The record is from RefSeq and is a predicted model, not a curated record. The transcript is spliced from 3 exons.
UUCCUGCACAGUGGUCAGAUAGUUGACUGCAGCAUAUUCUAUUACUGAGAGGAAGACGAACACAAAACUGACCCACAGGAACCCUCAGCACUAGGAGGGUGAAGACGAUGCCUCCUGACUCCUGACUGAUGCAGCAUCACUAGGCUGAGGCUGCCAACAUGCUCAGAGGAAGGUGUGAAUGCCUGGAUAUCCCAAGAUGCCUGUGCAGCACAGCAUCAACUAGGAGUGAUGAGAGGAAGAAAUGACAUCAACCCACCCUUAAUAGAGUCUCCAGCUUGUGACCCCUCUGGUAAGGUGACAUCCCGGCCACACCCAUAAGGUAGGUACAGAGGAGCAGGACUACAGCAUCUGCCUGCA